AAUCAACGCUGGCGGCGUGCCUCAGACAUGCAAGUCGAACGCGAAAUUUCCCUUCGGGGGAGAAAGUAGAGUGGCGCACGGGUGAGUAACACGUAGGUAAUUUGCCUUUGGGUGGGGAAUAACUCAGGGAAACUUGAGCUAAUACCGCAUAAUGCAGCGGCUCGACAUCGAGACAGUUGUUAAAGGCGGGGGAUCGCAAGACCUCGCGCCUAAAGAGAAGCCUGCGGCAGAUUAGCUAGUUGGUAGGGUAAUGGCCUACCAAGGCAACGAUCUGUAACCGGCCUGAGAGGGCGGUCGGUCACACUGACACUGACAUACGGGUCAGACUCCUACGGGAGGCAGCAGUCGGGAAUUUUGGGCAAUGGG
This 366-nucleotide ribosomal RNA is filed under the name uncultured bacterium. RNAcentral's name for it is "bacterial SSU rRNA". It matches the Rfam family "Bacterial small subunit ribosomal RNA", at positions 32 to 375 of the family's 1533-position model. The record is from RNAcentral.